Molecule: ribosomal RNA, 254 nt
Filed under: uncultured bacterium
Lineage: Bacteria
Description: partial 16S ribosomal RNA
Rfam family: Bacterial small subunit ribosomal RNA
Source: RNAcentral
CACGUAGGGGGCAAGCGUUGUCCGGAUUUAUUGGGCGUAAAGAGCUCGUAGGUGGUUCGGUAAGUCAGGUGUGAAACCUCCAGGCUCAACCUGGAGACGCCACUUGAUACUGCUGUGACUGGAGUCCGGUAGGGGAGCGUGGAAUUCCUGGUGUAGCGGUGAAAUGCGCAGAUAUCAGGAGGAACACCAGCGGCGAAGGCGGCGCUCUGGGCCGGUACUGACACUGAGGAGCGAAAGCGUGGGGAGCAAACAGG